Lonchura striata (white-rumped munia) is the source of this 1855-nucleotide non-coding RNA. NCBI's taxonomy places the organism in Eukaryota, Metazoa, Chordata, Aves, Passeriformes, Estrildidae. The record is from RefSeq and is a predicted model, not a curated record.
AAUCUGGGAGGGCAAUAAUUAGCAAGGAAAUGGAGGGAUGGGUGUAAAAGUAUACGCGUACUGCGGUGUCAUUACUUGUCGAUGGCGAUUAAGGGAGUCCUGCUGUCUGGAAAUUGGCUUUGCCUCCCGGGAAACCUGAGGGAAGCGCUGCCCUAGUUAAUGCUGCGGUAGCUCUUGGGAGAGGUUUGGAGUGAAAUAGAUACAGGUUUUCUUUUGAAAUAUGCUCUUGAAUAAAUUAGUUUGUGUCCAGAAAUGGCAUCUGUUUUCCCUGGCUCAGAUAUUUUUCUAGAAAAAGUGUUUAGGUAUGCGGCUCACAUGGAAAGUGGGACCAAUAUCUAAGCAGCUUUGAAAAUCGGUGCUGUAUUGUUUUGAGUUAGAAAUGCUGGUUUAAUUCCAAAGUUUGAAUACAGCAAUGCUGUGGGGUCAGUGGAGAAGGAAAGGAUGGGCCCUUAGAUGUAGAUGUUAUGAAGUGGAAAACUUAAAGUGUUUGGAAGGGUUACGUGGCCGGGUGUUCAGUGGCACCAUCUAACAACAAAACUUCUCUUUUAUUUUCAAGGAAGUAGCUGAAAACACUGGCUGCAUCUCUGUGUCUCUUAGAGGUCACUUGCUGAUUUAUCUCCAAUUCACAGCUCAUUAGAAGGUGUGUAACUCUUCAGAGAUGUUGUUAUUUAACAGCUGAAAGUUAUUAUGUAAAAUGGGUAAAUUGGAGUCUUUAAAGGAGCUGCCAACUUGCAUUUGCCUGAGUUUCUUCAGCAGUGGAGAGGAGAGGAAGAAUUCCAGACACGUCAUCCUGAUUUCACAAGUCUGCAGAGAUCUCCAGAGUGGACUUACCCAUCUGUGUGAGGAGGAAGGCUAUACAUGCAAAUUCAGAUUCCUGAUGCAUUCCCACUAACUCUGCCCUUCUGUUCUGGCAGAGUGAGGAAAAACUGUAGGCUGCCAAAAGGUGAAGACAACCACUUUAUCUGCAAGAGAAUAUUCAUUUAUGGGGCUUCCCUGGUGACAUAGGUUUGAAAUGGGAAAAUGGGCUUAAAGCCUUCUUUAAGAGAGAUUUACUCACAGUUUUCUCCAGUGUCAUUCAGGGGCCAAGCUUUCAAGUCUUCCAGAUUUGGACUUGUUUUGAUUUCAUUGCAAAAUCCUGCAAGAAUUCUGCCAACAGCAAGGCCAAUGUGUCUGAAAACAGAUGGCAUUUCCAGUACCUAAAGCCUGGUCAGGUUGAUUGCUUUGAGUCUGUAAGGUCAUCAUGGUUGAAGGCAUGAAGAUGAGGACAUCAAAGCCUUUGCCCACUUAUGACAAUUACUCUGGAGACAAACACAGCUCAGAAGACAAAUGUUAUGAGCUACCUGUAAGUUCUGGUUCACAAAACAGAUGAGAAUCCAGAGAUACUUCUGAACUUCGAAAUGAAAUUUAUUCUCAAGGUGGAGCCUCACCUUGAGUUAGAUUUAGGAGGACCAAAGGUGCUUCCUUUUCCAGUUCCCUGCCUGGAUUUUUAGAAGAUACCAUUUUUUAGCAUCUAAACACGGAAAUCACAGCAAUUUCCAUGGGAAGAAUCUCAGAGAUGAGAUGACAGAGCUUCCCCCCAAAACACUGCCUGUGUAAUUGCUGAAGACAUUCCAAGCCACUCUAACGAAGUGCUGUCUGCCAGUCAUUAUGUUCUCCUUGGAGGACCAUCUGUUGCACUUCAAAUAUGUAAAGGUCUCUAUCAUUUAUUGCUCCAAACAAAUCCAGGCCUUUGUCUGAUGUGCUGGAGCCCUUGAAUGGAUUCUAAAGGUGGUUUCAGGCACAAAGGGCAGGGUGUUCCCUUUGGUUGUACUCCUUCAGAUCAAAUUUCAGAGCACGAAUAUAUUGAUUAAACCAA